Salmo salar (Atlantic salmon) is the source of this 3137-nucleotide non-coding RNA. The record is from RefSeq and is a predicted model, not a curated record. NCBI's taxonomy places the organism in Eukaryota, Metazoa, Chordata, Actinopteri, Salmoniformes, Salmonidae.
AUGAGUUCUGCAUACCAUUGGAAACUCAAGUCUUACCUGAAAGAUACAUAUACAAAUGUAUUUGAGGGGAUACCUGAAGCAGGAAAUUCAGUAGAUCUCAAUGAGAUCUACACAGCGCUCUACAUCACAGAGGGUGGAAGUGGAGAGGUCAUAACUGGACAUGAGGUGAGGCAUAUUGAGACAACAAUCAGGAGACCAGCAAGACCAGAGACAUCAAUCAAAUGCAAUGACAUCUUUAAACCCUUAACUGGACGAGGCAAACAUAUCAGAACUGUGCUGACAAAGGGAGUCGCUGGCAUUGGAAAAAGUGUAUCUGUGCAGAAGUUCAUUCUGGACUGGGCUAGAGGAAACGCAAACCAAGACAUUCAUUUCAUUUUUCCACUCCCUUUUCCAGAGCUGAAUUUGAUGAAAAAGGAAGAGCAUAGCUUUGUUGGCAUUGUAGAUAAUUUUUUUGUAGGUGUGAAAGAAUCAGGAAUUUUCAAGAACAACAAUUUCAAAUUUCUGUUUAUCUUUGAUAACAGGGAUGAGUGCCGACUGCCCCUAGACUUUGAAAAUAACAAGAGUUGCCGUGAUGUGACAAAGUCAACCUCAGUGGACGUGCUGUUGACAAACCUCAUCCACAGGAAGCUGCUUCCCUCUGCUCUCCUCUGGAUAACCUCCCGGUCUGCAGCAGCCAAUCAGAUCCCUCCUGAGUGUGUUGACCAGGUGACGGAGGUACGAGUGUUUAACGAUCCACAGAAGGAAGAGUACUUCAGGAAGAGAUUCAGUGAUGAGGACGUGGCCAGCAAAAUAAUCACUCACAUAAAGACAUCAAGGAGCCUCCACAUCAUGUGCCACAUACCGAUCUUCUGUUGGAUUUCUGCCACAGUUCUUGAAGACCUGUUGUCUGAAAAGAAGACAGGAGAGAUACCCAAGAACCUGACUGAGAUGUACUCACAAUUCUUUGUAUUUCAGUCCAAACAGAAGAAUAGGAAGUAUCAUGGACAAGCUAAGACAGUGUCACACUGGGAUAAAAAGAUGAUAAUGAAAAUAUGUAAGCUGGCUUUUCAACAGCUUCAAAAUGGCAACCUGAUCUUCUACAAGUCAGACCUGGAAGAGUGUGGCAUUGAUGUCACUGAAGCCUCAGUGUACUCAGGAGUGUGCACACAGAUCUUUAGACAGGAGACUAGGAUUUCCAAGGAGAAGGUGUACUGCUUUGUGCAUCUCAGCAUACAGGAGUUUCUGGCUCCUGUAUAUGUCUUUCUCUCAUUCAACAACAGAAAUCGAAAUCUAUUAUCUAAGACACUGUCAACCCCCCAAAUGCCUCUCACGCAGUUCAGGACAAUAUCGACAAAUGAAUUCCACAAGCGUGCAGUGGACAAGGCCUUACAGAGUAAGAAUGGACACCUGGACUUGUUCCUUCGUUUCCUUCUGGGUCUCUCACUGGAGUCCAAUCAGAUUCUCUUACGAGGCUUACUGAACGAGAGAACAAGAAGUUCAGAGGACAAUGAGGAAACAGUCAAGUACAUCAAGGAGAAGAUCAGGGAGAAUCCCUCUCCAGAGAGGUGCAUCAAUCUGUUCCACUGUCUGAAUGAACUGAAUGACCAUUCUCUAGUGGAGGAGAUCCAAAGCUACCUGAGCUCAGGAAGUCUCUCAGAAGCCAAACUGUCACCUGCACAGUGGUCAGCUCUGGUCUUUGUGUUGCUGACUUCAGAAAAGGAGCUGGAUGUGUUUGACCUGAAGAAAUACUCCAGAUCAGAGGAAGGUUUUCUGAGGCUGCUGCCAGUGGUCAAAGCCUCCCAAACCGCUCUGCUUAAUGAGUGUAACCUCACUGUGAAAUGCUGUGAAGCCUUGGCCUCAGCUCUGUACACAACACCUGAGAGAGCUGGACCUAAGUGACAAUGACCUGAAGGAUUCAGGAGUGAAGCUGCUCUCUGCUGGACUGGAGAAUCCACAGUGUAAACUGGACUCUGUCAGGCUGUCCGGCUGUCUGCUCACAGAGGAAGGCUGGGCUUUUCUGGUCUCAGCAAUGAGGUUAAACCCCUCACACCUGAGAGAGCUGGACCUGAGUAACAAUGACCUGAAGGAUUCAGGAGUGAAGCUGCUCUCUGCUGGACUGGAGAAUCCCCACUGUAAACUGGAGACUCUGAGGCUGUCAGGCUGUCUGGUCACAGAGGAAGGCUGUGCUUCUCUGGUAUCAGCUCUGAGGUCAAACCCCUCAUACCUGAGAGAGCUGGACCUGAGCUACAAUCACCCAGGAGACUCAGGAGUCAGACUGCUCUCUGCUGGACUGGAGGAUCCACACUGGAGACUGGAGAAACUUGACAUUGAAAAUGGUGAAAAGUGCAGAAUCAUACCAGGGCUAAAGAAAUAUGCCUGUGAUGUCACACUGGACCCAAACACAGCAUACAGACUCCUCUCUCUGUCUGAGGAGAACAGGAAGGUGACAUGGAGGUUAGAGAACCAGCUGUAUCCUGAUCACCCAGAGAGAUUUAACUACUGGGACCAGGUGCUGUGUAGAGAGGGUCUGACUGGGCGCUGUUACUGGGAGGUAGAGUGGAGUGGGAGGGCUCAUAUAGGAGUGACAUAUAAAGGAAUCAGCAGGAGAGGAGACAGUAAUGACUGUGUGCUGGGAGCCAAUAACAAGUCCUGGAGUCUAUGGAGUUCCAACGAUAGUCACACUGCCUGGCACAAUAACAAGGAAACGGAUAUACCUGUCCCAUCAGCCCACUCCAACAGACUGGCCAGCUGGCACUCUGUCCUUCUAUAGAGUCUCCACUGACACACUGACCCACCUCCACACAUUCACUGAGCCCUUCUAUCCAGGGUUUUGGGUUUGGUAUGAAUCCUCAGUGUCCCUGUGUCAGGUAAAACAGAACAGAACCAUAUGAUAAGGAACACAAACUCCAGAGGAAUUCAUUAAAAUGGGAUUCUGGUUUUAUUUUAGGAUACAUAAAGAGGAUUCUUCAUAGACAACAAUAAUUAGAGAUCUGCAAUAACCUCUAACCUCACAGAACAAUGUAAACAAACAUAGCAAUGCUUCUACUAUUGUUAAGGGUUACCAGGAAAUCAGCUCUCUAUACAAUACUGAUUGUUAAGGGUUACCAGGAAAUCAGCUCUCUAUACAAUACUGAUUGUUAAGGGUUACCAGGAAAUCA